GACGAACGCUGGCGGCGUGCUUAACACAUGCAAGUCGAACGGAAGGGCCCUGCUUUUGUGGGGUGCUCGAGUGGCGAACGGGUGAGUAACACGUGAGUAACCUGCCCUUGACUUUGGGAUAACUUCAGGAAACUGGGGCUAAUACCGGAUAGGAGCUCCUGCUGCAUGGUGGGGGUUGGAAAGUUUCGGCGGUUGGGGAUGGACUCGCGGCUUAUCAGCUUGUUGGUGGGGUAGUGGCUUACCAAGGAUUUGACGGGUAGCCGGCCUGAGAGGGUGACCGGCCACAUUGGGACUGAGAUACGGCCCAGACUCCUACGGGAGGCAGCAGUGGGGAAUAUUGCACAAUGGGCGGAAGCCUGAUGCAGCAACGCCGCGUGCGGGAUGACGGCCUUCGGGUUGUAAACCGCUUUCGCCUGUGACGAAGCGUGAGUGACGGUAAUGGGUAAAGAAGCACCGGCUAACUACGUG
Molecule: ribosomal RNA, 468 nt
Filed under: uncultured bacterium
Lineage: Bacteria
Description: partial 16S ribosomal RNA
Rfam family: Bacterial small subunit ribosomal RNA
Source: RNAcentral